RNAcentral lists this ribosomal RNA (207 nucleotides) under uncultured bacterium. RNAcentral's name for it is "partial 16S ribosomal RNA". It matches the Rfam family "Bacterial small subunit ribosomal RNA", at positions 568 to 774 of the family's 1533-position model. The record is from RNAcentral.
CGCGUAGGUGGUUUGUUAAGUUGGAUGUGAAAGCCCCGGGCUCAACCUGGGAACUGCAUCCAAAACUGGCAAGCUAGAGUACGGUAGAGGGUGGUGGAAUUUCCUGUGUAGCGGUGAAAUGCGCAGAUAUCAGGAGGAACACCAAUAGCGAAGGCAGCUCGCUGGGACGUAACUGACACUGAGAUGCGAAAGCGUGGGGAGCAAACA